RNAcentral lists this ribosomal RNA (1507 nucleotides) under Corynebacterium diphtheriae. Its description in RNAcentral is "bacterial SSU rRNA". It matches the Rfam family "Bacterial small subunit ribosomal RNA". RNAcentral also lists the same sequence under 1 other name. The record is from RNAcentral. Lineage: Bacteria; Bacillati; Actinomycetota; Actinomycetes; Mycobacteriales; Corynebacteriaceae.
AGAGUUUGAUCCUGGCUCAGGACGAACGCUGGCGGCGUGCUUAACACAUGCAAGUCGAACGGAAAGGCCUAGCUUGCUAGGUACUCGAGUGGCGAACGGGUGAGUAACACGUGGGUGAUCUGCCUCGUACUUCGGGAUAAGCCUGGGAAACUGGGUCUAAUACUGGAUAGGACCAUGCUUUAGUGUGUGUGGUGGAAAGUUUUUCGGUACGAGAUGAGCCCGCGGCCUAUCAGCUUGUUGGUGGGGUAAUGGCCUACCAAGGCGUCGACGGGUAGCCGGCCUGAGAGGGUGGACGGCCACAUUGGGACUGAGAUACGGCCCAGACUCCUACGGGAGGCAGCAGUGGGGAAUAUUGCACAAUGGGCGCAAGCCUGAUGCAGCGACGCCGCGUGGGGGAUGACGGCCUUCGGGUUGUAAACCUCUUUCGCUAGGGACGAAGCUUUUGUGACGGUACCUAGAUAAGAAGCACCGGCUAACUACGUGCCAGCAGCCGCGGUAAUACGUAGGGUGCGAGCGUUGUCCGGAAUUACUGGGCGUAAAGAGCUCGUAGGUGGUUUGUCGCGUCGUCUGUGAAAUUCCGGGGCUUAACUUCGGGCGUGCAGGCGAUACGGGCAUAACUUGAGUGCUGUAGGGGAGACUGGAAUUCCUGGUGUAGCGGUGGAAUGCGCAGAUAUCAGGAGGAACACCGAUGGCGAAGGCAGGUCUCUGGGCAGUAACUGACGCUGAGGAGCGAAAGCAUGGGGAGCGAACAGGAUUAGAUACCCUGGUAGUCCAUGCCGUAAACGGUGGGCGCUAGGUGUGAGGGUCUUCCACGACUUUCGUGCCGUAGCUAACGCAUUAAGCGCCCCGCCUGGGGAGUACGGCCGCAAGGCUAAAACUCAAAGGAAUUGACGGGGGCCCGCACAAGCGGCGGAGCAUGUGGAUUAAUUCGAUGCAACGCGAAGAACCUUACCUGGGCUUGACAUAUGCAGGAUCGGCGUAGUGAUACGUUUUCCCUUGUGGUCUGUAUACAGGUGGUGCAUGGUUGUCGUCAGCUCGUGUCGUGAGAUGUUGGGUUAAGUCCCGCAACGAGCGCAACCCUUGUCUUAUGUUGCCAGCACGUGAUGGUGGGGACUCAUGAGAGACUGCCGGGGUUAACUCGGAGGAAGGUGGGGAUGACGUCAAAUCAUCAUGCCCCUUAUGUCCAGGGCUUCACACAUGCUACAAUGGUCGGUACAACGCGCUGCGAGCCUGUGAGGGUGAGCGAAUCGCUGAAAGCCGGCCUCAGUUCGGAUUGGGGUCUGCAACUCGACCCCAUGAAGUCGGAGUCGCUAGUAAUCGCAGAUCAGCAACGCUGCGGUGAAUACGUUCCCGGGCCUUGUACACACCGCCCGUCACGUCAUGAAAGUUGGUAACACCCGAAGCCAGUGGCCUAACCCUUGUGGGGGGGAGCUGUCGAAGGUGGGAUCGGCGAUUGGGACGAAGUCGUAACAAGGUAGCCGUACCGGAAGGUGCGGCUGGAUCACCU